RNAcentral lists this ribosomal RNA (144 nucleotides) under uncultured fungus. RNAcentral describes it as "partial small subunit ribosomal RNA". It matches the Rfam family "Eukaryotic small subunit ribosomal RNA", at positions 1296 to 1460 of the family's 1831-position model. The record is from RNAcentral. Lineage: Eukaryota; Fungi.
AGUUGGUGGAGUGAUCUGUCUGGUUAAUUCCGAUAACGAACGAGACCUUAACCUGCUAAAUAGUAUGGCAAAAAUUUAUUUUUGUACAAACUUCUUAGAGGGACUAACCUUGUUUAAAGGUUGGAAGUUUGAGGCAAUAACAGG